UGCAGAUGAUGACCACAAUAUUUGCUAUCUUAACUUCCUUGCCGACAAACCAUUAUCACCAAGAUCGCUGAUGCA
Gasterosteus aculeatus aculeatus (three-spined stickleback) is the source of this 75-nucleotide small nucleolar RNA. Its record names the gene SNORD24. It matches the Rfam family "Small nucleolar RNA SNORD24". Rfam says of the family: U24 is a member of the C/D class of snoRNA which contain the C (UGAUGA) and D (CUGA) box motifs. C/D box snoRNAs have been shown to act as methylation guides for a number of RNA targets. U24 is encoded within an intron of the gene for ribosomal protein L7a in mammals, chicken and Fugu. The record is from Ensembl. Lineage: Eukaryota; Metazoa; Chordata; Actinopteri; Perciformes; Gasterosteidae.